This 255-nucleotide ribosomal RNA is filed under the name uncultured bacterium. RNAcentral's name for it is "partial 16S ribosomal RNA". It matches the Rfam family "Bacterial small subunit ribosomal RNA", at positions 524 to 776 of the family's 1533-position model. The record is from RNAcentral.
UACGGAGGGUGCAAGCGUUAUCCGGAUUUACUGGGUUUAAAGGGUGUGUAGGCGGGUCUAUAAGUCAGUGGUGAAAUCUCCGGGCUCAACCCGGAAACUGCCAUUGAUACUAUAGGUCUUGAAUAUUGUGGAGGUGGGCGGAAUGUGUCAUGUAGCGGUGAAAUGCUUAGAGAUGACACAGAACACCGAUUGCGAAGGCAGCCCACUACGCAACUAUUGACGCUGAGGCACGAAAGCGUGGGGGAUCAAAACAGG